ACCAACAGAUUCAUACUCGCUUAGUUCGUGCUGCGAGUUUUUCCGUAUAUUAUCCUCAUAUUCAUACGUUGUGGAGCUUAUAAUUGCACAAGUGGCUACGGGAAAUCUUCAAGAGAUAUUGGAAAGACAUUUCACUGGUCUCAGGCAGCCGUAGUUGUCACCCUCAUGCUACAAAGAAAGGCUCCAUUCCAGUCUUCUCGUCAGUUCGUAAG
Molecule: long non-coding RNA, 212 nt
Organism: Macrobrachium nipponense
Lineage: Eukaryota; Metazoa; Arthropoda; Malacostraca; Decapoda; Palaemonidae
Exons: 3
Source: RefSeq, a predicted model, not a curated record